UACCACGAGAAAUUAUAAAAUGGCUGCAAAAUUUAAAUUUGCCUUACUCUUUUACAAAUAUUAAAAUUGCCAGUAAUGGGAUAAUCAUUUCGGAAAUUAUAAACAUAUAUAUGCCUAAAGUAAAAAAUAAAAAUUUGUAACUAUAUUUUUUUUAAAUGUUAUUAACACCUUCAAAAUGUAUAUAUAUAUAUAUAUAUAUAUAUAUAUAUACCAUAAUUAUUAUUAUUUAUAUUAUAUUCUUUUUUUUUUUUUUAAACGUUUUAAAAGCGCAUUAAUAUGAACAGCUUAGAAAAUGGUUCUAGUAAAGAGAUAAAAAAAAAAAACUGGCAAAUCAUAAAAAAAACUCUAACCAGUUUUAAUAUACAAUUUGAUGAACUGUCAGUAAUUAAUUCAGACAAAGAAGCAUUAAAAAAUUUAUUCAUUGAUUUGUACGAAUAUUUAACAAAAAAAAAAUGUAGAGAUGUGUACUAUAUUGAAAGUGAAAAAGACAAAGAAUUGAGUAUUCCGUCAUUUGCAAGAUCUACUAUAGCGCAGAAAGUUCGAGAAAGUAAUGUUGAUGACAUAGUAAAUGAAGAGCAAAAGUUAAUAAGUACUUACGAAUUAGUGAAGCAAGAAGAAUAUUAUAAUGCAAUGAUAAGAGAAAAAGAAAAGUGGCAAAAUGAAAAUAAAAAUAAACAAAAAAAUAUAAACAAAGAAACAGCUGUUUCUGAUGCUUCAUUUUUCAACGAAUUAGAAAAAACUAGUAGCAUUAUAACUAUUAAAGAUAUUAAUGAAUGUGAGGAUUAUACAGACAUUCAAACGCUUGAUUCAUUCAUUAAUGAAAAAAAUAAAAUUGACGGAACACAUGUCGGAAGAGGCUUAAAUUUUUUAAAUGGAAACGAAAAAAAAAAAUUCAUUAAAACAGUAUGA
This 909-nucleotide long non-coding RNA is filed under the name Piliocolobus tephrosceles (Ugandan red Colobus). Its description in RNAcentral is "lncRNA (ENSPTEG00000013569.1)". The record is from RNAcentral. Lineage: Eukaryota; Metazoa; Chordata; Mammalia; Primates; Cercopithecidae.